CACGUAGGGGCCAAGCGUUGUCCGGAUUUAUUGGGCGUAAAGAGCGUGUAGGCGGUCAGGUAGGUCCGUUGUGAAAACUCGAGGCUCAACCUCGAGACGCCGAUGGAAACCAUCUGACUAGAGUCCGGAAGAGGAGAGUGGAAUUCCUGGUGUAGCGGUGAAAUGCGCAGAUAUCAGGAAGAACACCCGUGGCUAAGGCGGCUCUCUAGUACGGUACUGACGCUGAGACGCGAAAGCGUGGGGAGCGAACAGG
This 253-nucleotide ribosomal RNA is filed under the name uncultured bacterium. RNAcentral's name for it is "partial 16S ribosomal RNA". It matches the Rfam family "Bacterial small subunit ribosomal RNA", at positions 524 to 776 of the family's 1533-position model. The record is from RNAcentral.